AUACAGAGGGUGCGAGCGUUAAUCGGAAUUACUGGGCGUAAAGCGCGCGUAGGCGGUCUAUUAAGUCAGAUGUGAAAUCCCAGGGCUCAACCUUGGAACUGCAUCUGAUACUGGUAGACUAGAGUUUUGGAGAGGGAAGUAGAAUUUCAGGUGUAGCGGUGAAAUGCAUAGAGAUCUGAAGGAAUACCAGUGACGAAGGCGACUUCCUGGCCAAAAACUGACGCUGAGGUGCGAAAGCGUGGGUAGCAAACGGAAUUAGAUACCCCUGUAGUCC
This 274-nucleotide ribosomal RNA is filed under the name uncultured bacterium. RNAcentral's name for it is "partial 16S ribosomal RNA". It matches the Rfam family "Bacterial small subunit ribosomal RNA", at positions 523 to 796 of the family's 1533-position model. The record is from RNAcentral.